AUGCAGCAUGCCGCGUGUGUGAAGAAGGCCUUCGGGUUGUAAAGCACUUUCAGUCGUGAGGAAGGUGGUGUCGUUAAUAGCUGCAGUAUUUGACGUUAGCGACAGAAGAAGCACCGGCUAACUCCGUGCCAGCAGCCGCGGUAAUACGGAGGGUGCGAGCGUUAAUCGGAAUUACUGGGCGUAAAGCGCAUGCAGGUGGUUUGUUAAGUCAGAUGUGAAAGCCCGGGGCUCAACCUCGGAAUAGCAUUUGAAACUGGCAGACUAGAGUACUGUAGAGGGGGGUAGAAUUUCAGGUGUAGCGGUGAAAUGCGUAGAGAUCUGAAGGAAUACCGGUGGCGAAGGCGGCCCCCUGGACAGAUACUGACACUCAGAUGCGAAAGCGUGGGGAGCAAACAGGAUUAGAUACCCUGGUAGUCCACGCCGUAAACGAUGUCUACUUGGAGGUUGUGGCCUUGAGCCGUGGCUUUCGGAGCUAACGCGUUAAGUAGACCGCCUGGGGAGUACGGUCGCAAGAUUAAAACUCAAAUGAAUUGACGGGGGCCCGCACAAGCGGUGGAGCAUGUGGUUUAAUUCGAUGCAACGCGAAGAACCUUACCUACUCUUGACAUCCAGAGAACUUUCCAGAGAUGGAUUGGUGCCUUCGGGAACUCUGAGACAGGUGCUGCAUGGCUGUCGUCAGCUCGUGUUGUGAAAUGUUGGGUUAAGUCCCGCAACGAGCGCAACCCUUAUCCUUGUUUGCCAGCGAGUAAUGUCGGGAACUCCAGGGAGACUGCCGGUGAUAAACCGGAGGAAGGUGGGGACGACGUCAAGUCAUCAUGGCCCUUACGAGUAGGGCUACACACGUGCUACAAUGGCGCAUACAGAGGGCGGCCAACUUGCGAGAGUGAGCGAAUCCCAAAAAGUGCGUCGUAGUCCGGAUUGGAGUCUGCAACUCGACUCCAUGAAGUCGGAAUCGCUAGUAAUCGUGGAUCAGAAUGCCACGGUGAAUACGUUCCCGGGCCUUGUACACACCGCCCGUCACACCAUGGGAGUGGGCUGCAAAAGAAGUAGGUAGUUUAACCUUCGGGGGGACGCUUACCACUUUGGGGGUCAUGACUGGGUGAUCGU
RNAcentral lists this ribosomal RNA (1107 nucleotides) under Vibrio sp. 814. Its description in RNAcentral is "bacterial SSU rRNA". It matches the Rfam family "Bacterial small subunit ribosomal RNA", at positions 386 to 1489 of the family's 1533-position model. The record is from RNAcentral. Lineage: Bacteria; Pseudomonadati; Pseudomonadota; Gammaproteobacteria; Vibrionales; Vibrionaceae.